RNAcentral lists this small RNA (118 nucleotides) under Salmonella enterica subsp. enterica serovar London. Its description in RNAcentral is "RtT RNA". It matches the Rfam family "RtT RNA". Rfam says of the family: This family represents a bacterial cis-regulatory element known as RtT RNA. The exact function of RtT is unknown although it is thought that it may be involved in changing the cellular response in relation to amino acid starvation. The record is from RNAcentral. Lineage: Bacteria; Pseudomonadati; Pseudomonadota; Gammaproteobacteria; Enterobacterales; Enterobacteriaceae.
UGUAUCUGAAGUCUGACGAGGAUGAGAACCUCCGGGGGCAAGAGGUUCGACCCGAGCGAAGCGAGAGAACGUUGCGCCAGCAACGGCCCGCAGGGCGAGCCACCCUCUAUCACCGGCA